CGGGGGAGGCCGGAUCCUGGGCUGUGUCCCGGCGCCCUGUGCUCCCGGGCCUGCACUGUUGGAUUUGCGCUCCCGCCCCGCAGCCCCCU
Molecule: microRNA precursor, 89 nt
Filed under: Canis lupus dingo (dingo)
Lineage: Eukaryota; Metazoa; Chordata; Mammalia; Carnivora; Canidae
Description: mir-8799 microRNA precursor family
Rfam family: mir-8799 microRNA precursor family
Source: Rfam by way of RNAcentral